Molecule: ribosomal RNA, 483 nt
Filed under: uncultured bacterium
Lineage: Bacteria
Description: bacterial SSU rRNA
Rfam family: Bacterial small subunit ribosomal RNA
Source: RNAcentral
GAACGCUGGCGGCAGGCCUAACACAUGCAAGUCGAGCGGUAGAGAGGUGCUUGCAUCUCUUGAGAGCGGCGGACGGGUGAGUAAUGCCUAGGAAUCUGCCUAGGUGGUGGGGGGAUAACGUUCGGAAACGGACGCUAAUACCGCAUACGUCCUACGGGAGAAAGCGGGGGAUCUUCGGACCUCGCGCCAUUAGAUGAGCCUAGGUCGGAUUAGCUAGUUGGUGAGGUAAUGGCUCACCAAGGCGACGAUCCGUAACUGGUCUGAGAGGAUGAUCAGUCACACUGGAACUGAGACACGGUCCAGACUCCUACGGGAGGCAGCAGUGGGGAAUAUUGGACAAUGGGCGAAAGCCUGAUCCAGCCAUGCCGCGUGUGUGAAGAAGGUCUUCGGAUUGUAAAGCACUUUAAGUUGGGAGGAAGGGUAGUAACCUAAUACGUUGCUACUUUGACGUUACCGACAGAAUAAGCACCGGCUAACUUCGUG